Molecule: RNA transcript, 641 nt
Organism: Brassica oleracea var. oleracea
Lineage: Eukaryota; Viridiplantae; Streptophyta; Magnoliopsida; Brassicales; Brassicaceae
Gene name: mitotic spindle checkpoint protein BUBR1-like
Exons: 5
Source: RefSeq, a predicted model, not a curated record
AUGCCGAGGCUUUUCUCCUCCUGCCACUUCGUCUUCUCUCUUCUCCUCUACCAAUUCGUUUUCUCCCCGUGAAACCAAUUCGAGUCGGUUUUCUUCAAGAGUGAAGGAAGCUGAUUGAGGAUAUAGAUGAGUACGACGGUGACAACCCUCUCUUCCCAUGGAUAAAGCGUGUUAAAUGGGUGCAGGAGGCGUUUCCUCCGGGUGGAGAGUGCUCGGGUCUGUUGGUGAUAUACGAGCAGUGCGUGAGAAGUUCUGGCACUCGGACCGGUACAAGGAUGAUCUUCGUUACCUCAAAGUCUGUUUACUAGAGGGAAGUGGUUUAUCCUUUUGAAGGCGGAGCAUUGCGCUGAUGCGGAAGUGAUUUAUAAGUUUUUGGACGUUAAUGAUAUUGGGAGGACGCAUGGUUUGUACUACAGAGAUUAUGGGUUGAACAUGGAGUAUAAGGGUAAAGUGAAGACUGCUAAUGAGAUCUUCAAUCUCAGAAUCUCUAGGAAUGCAAAGCCUGUGGAGAAGUUGAAUGAUGCUUACAAGAAGUUUAUGGUGAGAACUAUGAGAAGGACCAAAACAGUUGAUGAUAUAAGAAGUUUCUUCUGUAAGUUUAUCUAUGCUUAAGUUUUUUUUUUCCACAUGAUGAUUUAUUU